GAUGAACGCUGGCGGCGUGCUUAACACAUGCAAGUCGAACGGAAAGGCUCCUGCUUGCAGGGGUACUCGAGUGGCGAACGGGUGAGUAACACGUGGGUGAUCUGCCCUGCACUUCGGGAUAAGCCUGGGAAACUGGGUCUAAUACCGGAUAGGACCACAUUUUGGAUGGUGUGGUGGAAAGUUUUUCGGUGUGGGAUGAGCUCGCGGCCUAUCAGCUUGUUGGUGGGGUAAUGGCCUACCAAGGCGUCGACGGGUAGCCGGCCUGAGAGGGUGGACGGCCACAUUGGGACUGAGAUACGGCCCAGACUCCUACGGGAGGCAGCAGUGGGGAAUAUUGCACAAUGGGCGCAAGCCUGAUGCAGCGACGCCGCGUGGGGGAUGACGGCCUUCGGGUUGUAAACUCCUUUCGCUAGGGACGAAGCGCAAGUGACGGUACCUGGAGAAGAAGCACCGGCUAACUACGUG
RNAcentral lists this ribosomal RNA (465 nucleotides) under uncultured bacterium. RNAcentral describes it as "partial 16S ribosomal RNA". It matches the Rfam family "Bacterial small subunit ribosomal RNA", at positions 28 to 507 of the family's 1533-position model. The record is from RNAcentral.